GAUGAACGCUGGCGGCGUGCUUAACACAUGCCAGUCGAACGGAAAGGCCCAAGCUUGCUUGGGUACUCGAGUGGCGAACGGGUGAGUAACACGUGGGUGAUCUGCCCUGCACUUCGGGAUAAGCCUGGGAAACUGGGUCUAAUACCGGAUAGGACCACUUCUUGGAUGUUGUGGUGGAAAGUUUUUUCGGUGUGGGAUGAGCUCGCGGCCUAUCAGCUUGUUGGUGGGGUCAUGGCCUACCAAGGCGUCGACGGGUAGCCGGCCUGAGAGGGUGUACGGCCACAUUGGGACUGAGAUGCGGCCCAGACUCCUACGGGAGGCAGCAGUGGGGAAGAUUGCACAAUGGGCGCAAGCCUGAUGCAGCGACGCCGCGUGGGGGAUGACGGCCUUCGGGUUGUAAACUCCUUUCGCUAGGGACGAAGCGUUUUGUGACGGUACCUGGAGAAGAAGCACCGGCUAACUACGUG
Molecule: ribosomal RNA, 467 nt
Filed under: uncultured bacterium
Lineage: Bacteria
Description: partial 16S ribosomal RNA
Rfam family: Bacterial small subunit ribosomal RNA
Source: RNAcentral